This 1124-nucleotide long non-coding RNA is filed under the name Marmota monax (woodchuck). The record is from RNAcentral. Lineage: Eukaryota; Metazoa; Chordata; Mammalia; Rodentia; Sciuridae.
GGCGAAAUAGCCCAGGGCAUACGGGCUUCUCUGGUGUGUGCAGGCACCCAGGAACAAUGAUUUGUGAAUGGUGAUUUCAGAAGCACAGAGUGAGGAACUGUUGGUCUCAGAACUAGGGACUAGAGCCAGGGUCAAGGGAUAAGAGAGGUGGCUGUGACCCUCACAACCUCAGAGAAUCAAAAGGGACCCAGCCAUAAUCAAGCCCGACUCCCAGCCUCCUGGAUGAGGAGCCUGCGGCCCGGGGCUUGAGGUCCUCCAGUGACAAGUGGCUCAUUACUUCCUGAGAAAGCAUUUCCUUAAUUCAGAAAAAUGUAUCCAAAGACCAAGGCCAAAUCUAUUCAACUAACUUAACCCCUUUGACACCUGGCUCUAACCCAGACCUCCAGAGAACAAUGUAAAUCUUCUCAAAUAGCUCUCUGGAUAUUUGGAAAUGACUAUCAUGCUCAAGAACCUUAUUUGACAAGCUUUCCAGACACCCCACUACCCAAACAGAAGAUAUCAGCUAUAGUUAUCCCACCCUCCUCCUGUGUUCUUGAUGAUACAGGAUGUUCUUGUCCCCUUAGCAGCCAAGACCUUUGAGACAGGCUUUAAUGCUGACAACUCCUCACAUGCAUGUAACCAAUUAAAUGGAUGCAUUGGCACAAAUCUUUCAUUCCAUUAUAAGAAGUUUAGGAUUUAGGCAGGAUCAUUAUUCCUAUUUUACAGAUAAGGAAACUGAGCCUCAGGAAGAUGAAAUGAUUUACCUGAGAUUACAGAGCCAGAAAAAGGGAAAACCAAGACAUAAACCUGUCCUUUUGGCUUCUAUCUCUAGGGCCCCAGUAAUGGUUUGGAUAUGAGGUAUCCCCCAAAAGUUCCUGUUCAGAGGUGAAAUGAUUGGAUUAUGAGAGCUGAAACCUAAUCAGUUCAUUCUAGUUUGAGUGGACUGAUUGGGUGGUGACUGUAGGCAGUGUGAAGCAUGGUUGGAGGAGGUAGGUCUCUAGAGGCUGCCUUAGAAGGAUUCAACUUCCCUGUGGCCCCUCCCUCUGCUUCCUGGCCAUCAUGAGCAGAGCAUGAGCUGGUGUUCCUCCACCAUGUCCUUCUGUCAUGACAUUUGCCUCACUUGGGCCCAGAGCAAUGGAGUCAGC